CACCCGGGCGGGAGUCGGGGCCGCCCGCGGCACAGAAAGAGGAAGCCAGCAACGAAGGCGGAACGGAGCGAGGAUACAGAAGAUUUAUUCGAAGUCCAGGUACAGACUGGCCAACCUGCCUCUACAGCGUCCACAGCGAACACAGGGCUAGACAAGGGAGGAGUUUCUCAAACGGUUUUAAUCGGUUCUCUCCGCGUCACAAGCCAUCGGGUAAGGCAACGGAAUGUGCGUGGGGUCCCCUGUGGCUCCGCGGUCACAAUACUGAGCCUGGAAUUGCUGUUAGCAAAAUAUACAUUUGUGUCACCAUAAAAAACCGCGCCGCCGCCCCUCGGGUCUCACAACAGGUAUAAAAAAUUAUAAAUAUUUACACCCUUGUUACACGCUUUUACGGAAAGGGGAUCCUAGGAGAGCCCCCGGGACAGGACGCGGGGGCGGUAGAAAGAGCACAGAGAAGACAGGAGGAGCGCCCGCCUUCCGGGUCCCAGCAUCAGAGGCAGGCAAAACACAGAAAUGAGACUUUGGUCCAAAAUUUGAAGGAAGAAAAAACCCUGAAGUUUGAGAGCAAGUUUUCUAGGCGACUGCAGGUGAAGGCGUGGUGUAAGGCAACCGGAGGCGAUGCCAGAGGCGGCGACACGCCCGCCCCUUCCCUGAAGCUCAGGGGCUCUAAGAUAGGACCGGGGCUCCCUGUGCCUGACCCACUGGGCGGCCCCGCCUGCUCUCUGGAAACUGGGUCCUGCCUGUGACUUAAUUACAAGGAAUAAAAUAAAAGUAACAGCAUACAAGGUAAUACCACAAGGAAGUUUAGAUUACACUCAUACCAUUGUAUCAUCUUGCUAUAAAAAGUUACUUAAAACUAUUUCUUUUGCAUAUAAAUGAAAAAAGAUUAGAAUAUUUGGUCAACUGGAAAUAUUGCUAGGCACAGACGUCUGCAACUGCAAAGUAUAUAAUACAGAGAUUAUGUCGACCAGCUCCGCAGGUUUUUUAAGGCACAAGGAAGCCAAGUCGUGGUCGGGGCGCCCACCUGCAGGCCCCACGCCCGACACAGGCCCCACCAAGGCAUGGCCCCGAGGGUCUGGCCCCGGGUGUGGAGGGCCGGGAACUCCCGCUGCCACAGUCACCAAGAGCCUGAGCUGUCCCUGUCACCGCAGGGUGAGCAAGGUGAACUAGAUUUAAUUUUUUUAAAAACAGGUAAACUGAUUUCUCUUUAAAAAAAUAAAAUCUCUGGUCUGCUAAGGUCACUUCAGCUGUUUUUAAAGUGGCUUUUCUCUGGAAUGAUGGAAGUUGUCGCCAGGGGGCCCGGCCGUGGGGGCCUGUGCCCCUAGAUGGUGGACUUGGAGAAGGAGACCCGCAGGUGGUGGUUCUCCCCGAGGUCGUGGUUGUGCAGGUCAAUGAGGGCCUGGACCGCCUCCUCCACGGAGCCCAUCUGGAUCAGUGCCAUCUUGCGGUCCUUCCUGCAAGACAGGGGGUCAGG
RNAcentral lists this long non-coding RNA (1471 nucleotides) under Homo sapiens (human). RNAcentral's name for it is "HSALNT0254114". The record is from RNAcentral. Lineage: Eukaryota; Metazoa; Chordata; Mammalia; Primates; Hominidae.